Molecule: ribosomal RNA, 460 nt
Filed under: uncultured bacterium
Lineage: Bacteria
Description: partial 16S ribosomal RNA
Rfam family: Bacterial small subunit ribosomal RNA
Source: RNAcentral
CCUACGGGGGGCAGCAGUGAGGAAUAUUGGUCAAUGGACGAGAGUCUGAACCAGCCAAGUAGCGUGAAGGAUGACUGCCCUAUGGGUUGUAAACUUCUUUUAUGUGGGAAUAAAAUGUUCCACGUGUGGGAUUUUGUAUGUACCAUAUGAAUAAGGAUCGGCUAACUCCGUGCCAGCAGCCGCGGUAAUACGGAGGAUCCGAGCGUUAUCCGGAUUUAUUGGGUUUAAAGGGAGCGUAGGUGGAUUGUUAAGUCAGUUGUGAAAGUUUGCGGCUCAACCGUAAAAUUGCAGUUGAAACUGGCAGUCUUGAGUACAGGAGAGGUGGGCGGAAUUCGUGGUGUAGCGGUGAAAUGCUUAGAUAUCACGAAGAACUCCGAUUGCGAAGGCAGUUCACUGGACUGCAACUGACACUGAGGCUCGAAAGUGUGGGUAUCAAACAGGAUUAGAUACCCUGGUAGUC